RNAcentral lists this ribosomal RNA (301 nucleotides) under uncultured bacterium. RNAcentral describes it as "partial 16S ribosomal RNA". It matches the Rfam family "Bacterial small subunit ribosomal RNA", at positions 509 to 807 of the family's 1533-position model. The record is from RNAcentral.
CAGUCGCCGCGGGAAUACGGAGGGGGCUAGCGUUGUUCGGAAUUACUGGGCGUAAAGCGCACGUAGGCGGCUUGGUAAGUUAGAGGUGAAAGCCUGGAGCUCAACUCCAGAAUUGCCUUUAAGACUGCCGAGCUAGCAGGUGAGAGAGGUAAGUGGAAUUCCGAGUGUAGAGGUGAAAUUCGUAGAUAUUUGGAAGAACACCAGUGGCGAAGGCGGCUUACUGGACAAGUAUUGACGCUGAGGUGCGAAAGCGUGGGGAGCAAACAGGAUUAGAUACCCCUGUAGUCCCUGUCUCUUAUAC